Molecule: ribosomal RNA, 252 nt
Filed under: uncultured Bacteroidales bacterium
Lineage: Bacteria; Pseudomonadati; Bacteroidota; Bacteroidia; Bacteroidales
Description: partial 16S ribosomal RNA
Rfam family: Bacterial small subunit ribosomal RNA
Source: RNAcentral
UACGUAGGGAGCAAGCGUUGUCCGGAUUUACUGGGUGUAAAGGGUGCGUAGGCGGAUUUUUAAGUCAGCGGUAAAAUGUCCGGGCUCAACCCGGGCCGGCCGUUGAAACUGGGGAUCUUGAGUGGGCGAGAAGUAUGCGGAAUGCGUGGUGUAGCGGUGAAAUGCAUAGAUAUCACGCAGAACUCCGAUUGCGAAGGCAGCAUACCGGCGCGCAACUGACGCUCAUGCACGAAAGCGUGGGUAGCAAACAGA